This 253-nucleotide ribosomal RNA is filed under the name uncultured bacterium. Its description in RNAcentral is "partial 16S ribosomal RNA". It matches the Rfam family "Bacterial small subunit ribosomal RNA", at positions 524 to 776 of the family's 1533-position model. The record is from RNAcentral.
UACAGAGGGUGCGAGCGUUAAUCGGAAUUACUGGGCGUAAAGCGUGCGUAGACGGUUAUUUAAGUCGGGUGUGAAAGCCCCGGGCUCAACCUGGGAAUUGCAUUCGAGACUGAAUAGCUAGGGUACGGUAGAGGGAAGCGGAAUUUCCGGUGUAGCGGUGAAAUGCGUAGAUAUCAAGUGGAACACCAGUGGCGAAGGCGAGUCCCUGGAAAACUCCUGACACUGAGGCACGAAAGCUAGGGGAGCAAACAGG